RNAcentral lists this ribosomal RNA (1372 nucleotides) under uncultured bacterium. RNAcentral's name for it is "bacterial SSU rRNA". It matches the Rfam family "Bacterial small subunit ribosomal RNA", at positions 28 to 1381 of the family's 1533-position model. The record is from RNAcentral.
GAUGAACGCUGGCGGCGUGCCUAAUACAUGCAAGUCGAGCGAACGGACGAGAAGCUUGCUUCUCCGAUGUUAGCGGCGGACGGGUGAGUAACACGUGGAUAACCUACCUAUAAGACUGGGAUAACUUCGGGAAACCGGAGCUAAUACCGGAUAAUAUUUUGAACCGCAUGGUUCAAAAGUGAAAGACGGUCUUGCUGUCACUUAUAGAUGGAUCCGCGCUGCAUUAGCUAGUUGGUAAGGUAACGGCUUACCAAGGCAACGAUGCAUAGCCGACCUGAGAGGGUGAUCGGCCACACUGGAACUGAGACACGGUCCAGACUCCUACGGGAGGCAGCAGUAGGGAAUCUUCCGCAAUGGGCGAAAGCCUGACGGAGCAACGCCGCGUGAGUGAUGAAGGUCUUCGGAUCGUAAAACUCUGUUAUUAGGGAAGAACAUAUGUGUAAGUAACUGUGCACGUCUUGACGGUACCUAAUCAGAAAGCCACGGCUAACUACGUGCCAGCAGCCGCGGUAAUACGUAGGUGGCAAGCGUUAUCCAGAAUUAUUGGGCGUAAAGCGCGCGUAGGCGGUUUUUUAAGUCUGAUGUGAAAGCCCACGGCCCAACCGUGGAGGGUCAUUGGAAACUGGAAAACUUGAGUGCAGAAGAGGAAAGUGGAAUUCCAUGUGUAGCGGUGAAAUGCGCAGAGAUAUGGAGGAACACCAGUGGCGAAGGCGACUUUCUGGUCUGUAACUGACGCUGAUGUGCGAAAGCGUGGGGAUCAAACAGGAUUAGAUACCCUGGUAGUCCACGCCGUAAACGAUGAGUGCUAAGUGUUAGGGGGUUUCCGCCCCUUAGUGCUGCAGCUAACGCAUUAAGCACUCCGCCUGGGGAGUACGACCGCAAGGUUGAAACUCAAAGGAAUUGACGGGGACCCGCACAAGCGGUGGAGCAUGUGGUUUAAUUCGAAGCAACGCGAAGAACCUUACCAAAUCUUGACAUCCUUUGACAACUCUAGAGAUAGAGCUUUCCCCUUCGGGGGACAAAGUGACAGGUGGUGCAUGGUUGUCGUCAGCUCGUGUCGUGAGAUGUUGGGUUAAGUCCCGCAACGAGCGCAACCCUUAAGCUUAGUUGCCAUCAUUAAGUUGGGCACUCUAAGUUGACUGCCGGUGACAAACCGGAGGAAGGUGGGGAUGACGUCAAAUCAUCAUGCCCCUUAUGAUUUGGGCUACACACGUGCUACAAUGGACAAUACAAAGGGCAGCGAAACCGCGAGGUCAAGCAAAUCCCAUAAAGUUGUUCUCAGUUCGGAUUGUAGUCUGCAACUCGACUACAUGAAGCUGGAAUCGCUAGUAAUCGUAGAUCAGCAUGCUACGGUGAAUACGUUCCCGGGUCU